UACGGAGGGUGCAAGCGUUAUCCGGAUUCACUGGGUUUAAAGGGUGCGUAGGUGGGCAGUUAAGUCAGUGGUGAAAUCUCCGGGCUCAACCCGGGAACUGCCAUUGAUACUAUCGGUCUUGAAUAUCGUGGAGGUAAGCGGAAUAUGUCAUGUAGCGGUGAAAUGCUUAGAUAUGACAUAGAACACCAAUUGCGAAGGCAGCUUACUACCCGAAUAUUGACACUGAGGCACGAAAGCGUGGGGAUCAAACAGG
Molecule: ribosomal RNA, 253 nt
Filed under: uncultured bacterium
Lineage: Bacteria
Description: partial 16S ribosomal RNA
Rfam family: Bacterial small subunit ribosomal RNA
Source: RNAcentral